RNAcentral lists this ribosomal RNA (423 nucleotides) under uncultured bacterium. RNAcentral's name for it is "partial 16S ribosomal RNA". It matches the Rfam family "Bacterial small subunit ribosomal RNA", at positions 361 to 776 of the family's 1533-position model. The record is from RNAcentral.
AUUUUGCACAAUGGGCGAAAGCCUGAUGCAGCAACGCCGCGUGAGCGAAGAAGGCCUUNGGGUUGNANAGCUCUGUUGCCCGUGANACAGGACCGGAUCAGGAAAUGGGUCCGGGGGGACGGUAGCGGGCGAGGAAGCCCCGGCAAACUACGUGCCAGCAGCCGCGGUAAUACGUAGGGGGCGAGCGUUGUCCGGAAUUAUUGGGCGUAAAGGGCGUGUAGGCGGCCUGUUAAGUCAGGGGUGAAAACCCGUGGCUCAACCACGGGGUUGCCUUUGAAACUGGCGGGCUUGAGUGCUCUAGAGGGCAGUGGAAUUCCCGGUGUAGCAGUGAAAUGCGUAGAGAUCGGGAGGAACACCAGUGGCGAAGGCGGCUGCCUGGGGAGUAACUGACGCUGAGGCGCGAAAGCGUGGGGAGCAAACAGG